GUCCUACGGGGGGCAGCAGUGGGGGAUAUUGCACAAUGGGGGGAACCCUGAUGCAGCGACGCCGCGUGGGUGAAGAAGCGCCUCGGCGCGUAAAGCCCUGUCAGCAGGGAAGAAAAUGACGGUACCUGAAGAAGAAGCCCCGGCUAACUACGUGCCAGCAGCCGCGGUAAUACGUAGGGGGCAAGCGUUAUCCGGAUUUAUUGGGUUUAAAGGGUGCGCAGGCGGCCUGUUAAGUCAGCGGUAAAAGCCCGGGGCUCAACCCCGGCGAGCCGUUGAAACUGGCGGGCUGGAGUUGGAGAGAAGUA
RNAcentral lists this ribosomal RNA (305 nucleotides) under uncultured bacterium. RNAcentral's name for it is "bacterial SSU rRNA". It matches the Rfam family "Bacterial small subunit ribosomal RNA", at positions 335 to 659 of the family's 1533-position model. The record is from RNAcentral.